This 253-nucleotide ribosomal RNA is filed under the name uncultured bacterium. RNAcentral's name for it is "partial 16S ribosomal RNA". It matches the Rfam family "Bacterial small subunit ribosomal RNA", at positions 524 to 776 of the family's 1533-position model. The record is from RNAcentral.
UACGGGGGGGGUAAGCGUUGUUCGGAAUUACUGGGCGUAAAGGGCUCGUAGGCGGCCAACUAAGUCGGACGUGAAAUCCCUCAGCUUAACUGGGGAACUGCGUCCGAUACUGGAUGGCUUGGAUUUGGGAGAGGGAUGCGGAAUUCCAGGUGUAGCGGUGAAAUGCGUAGAUAUCUGGAGGAACACCGGUGGCGAAGGCGGCAUCCUGGACCAACACUGACGCUGAGGUGCGAAAGCGUGGGGAGCAAACAGG